This 448-nucleotide ribosomal RNA is filed under the name uncultured bacterium. RNAcentral's name for it is "partial 16S ribosomal RNA". It matches the Rfam family "Bacterial small subunit ribosomal RNA", at positions 329 to 792 of the family's 1533-position model. The record is from RNAcentral.
UCCCAGACUCCUACGGGAGGCAGCAGUGGGGAAUAUUGGGCAAUGGGCGCAAGCCUGACCCAGCAACGCCGCGUGAAGGAAGAAGGCUUUCGGGUUGUAAACUUCUUUUAAGAGGGAAGAGCAGAAGACGGUACCUCUUGAAUAAGCCACAGCUAACUACGUGCCAGCAGCCGCGGUAAUACGUAGGUGGCAAGCGUUAUCCGGAUUUACUGGGUGUAAAGGGCGUGUAGGCGGGUCUGCAAGUCAGAUGUGAAAUUCCAGGGCUCAACCCUGGAACUGCAUUUGAAACUGUAGAUCUUGAGUGAUGGAGAGGCAGGCGGAAUUCCGUGUGUAGCGGUGAAAUGCGUAGAUAUACGGAGGAACACCAGUGGCGAAGGCGGCCUGCUGGACAUUAACUGACGCUGAGGCGCGAAAGCGUGGGGAGCAAACAGGAUUAGAUACCCCAGUA